UUCUGGAAGGGCUGUGGUGGACUACAAGGCUGAGUAGGACAGUGAGCUGGUGCCUCCUGCCUUCAGGGGUAGCAUGGUGGCUGUUAUGUUAAGCAGGUGGAAAGAACCAGCUCCUGGGUUGCAGUUGUCUACAGAAAUAAGAAGGGUCUUGCUUGCAGCUAGACAGCUGUGUCAGAUGCUUUCAGAAAUGCUUACAGUCUAGAUUCUAAAAAUGACCUUGGGAAACAGAAGGGAGAGAUACAAAUCCCCAGGUUUUAGAUACCAGGCUUGUGGAGUGGAAGUAAGGCAUUUCAGCUUUCAGUGGUCCAUGUGGACUAAAUCAGGUGUUUCAGAAGAAUAACAGCCUGCAACUUUCUGCCAGUCUCAGUGGAGGAAGAAUGCAAUCACCUGGGAAAGGUAUUGAGGGGCAAUAUAAACAGGAGAAAAAUGACAACAGACUGCUUCACUUCAAAUGACAUCAAAUGGUUUGAAUCUGACAUUGAUGGGGAACUUGGAGAAACCACCAUCAAUUCCCCAGUUCUCCCUUUCCCACUGCCCUCCAUCUGGAAGAAGCCAUCACACAGGCAUGGUGCAGCAAAUCCUUCACCUCUGUCUGUAGUCCUGGAAUAUCAUCUGGCAUGCACAAGAAAAUACAAGGGGUGAUAAAGGAUGAUUCAGGAUGGGAAGCUGUAGGAUCUCUGGGUGGUAUUUUUAAAAAACUUAAGCUCUGCUUCUCCCCCAGUGGGGUCUGCUGUCUCUUAGUGGUAGAUCAGAAGUUGUUCUUCUCCUUCACCUGCUUCAUAUUUUAUUACUCCUCAAGCAGGAUUCAGAUCCACAUUCAGCCACUUCAAAGUGGCUGGUGCCUGGAUUGACAAGAGAGUAGGCUUUAUUUAAGUGACUACAUUUUUUCUAGUCCUCUGAUUCACAGAUCAUAAAUGCAGUUGCAGACAGCAUGAACUAUGAUGAAAGCAUGUUACCAUUGUCAUAUUUUUGUAGUCAGGGUAGCACUGGCAAUGAAAACAGUUUUCAAUACUACUGAUAAUUGGAAUUUAAGGAUCAAGAGGUUGGAGAGUGGUUUUUUUUAAAAUCCUAAAAAGUGAUGUUGACUGGCUAUGGUGAAAGCACCAUGAUGAACGGUAAAUACAGUUCCUGGAAAGUCUUCUUGUGUACCUCUUAUGCAUUUCCCAUCUUGUACCUCAUUGUCAGCUCCUCUUGGCUUAGAGAAGAGUCACUGAGGAUUGCAUUUGUCCUAAAGAGUCUAUUCUUUGUUUCCAUUCAAGUUGUUUGAUGUUCCCUUGCACCUUUUCUCAAUAACAACAGAACUGCAUAUCACACUCCUAAAUGCACUGACAACCACAGCUCCAGCUGAAGUUUUCUUUAUGUGCCUGCUCAUUCAAAACUGUCAACUUGAAUACAAUAUCAAAUUAUUCUCAGAUUAUUUAUUUGAUUGGAGCAACCAAAGAGAACUAUAUGCCAGAAUUAAUCCACAGGGGAAAGGCAAUGUGAGUUCUGCUUUGCUUAAGUGAUCCCUGACUUUGUGCCUUUUGAAACUAUUAUGCCUAGCUUAAGCUCAAUGAUACUUGAGUAAAUAUCCUUGCUCUACAGAGUAUGUCAUGAGACUGGACAGUCAUACAUCUAUCUCAUCUAAAUGGCUCUCACAAUUAUUCUGUAUUUUUAGGAAAAGCUUCGUUUUCUGUUGUAAACCACAUAUAAUGGCAUCCAUCUAAUGCAAUUGUACCUUUGCUACUUUGCUCCUCUGGUGUGUAUGUAACUAUGACUUUUUUUUCCUCCUGGCCUAAUGUGGAAUUUUCUGGGCCAACAAAUCAAUGAAGGAUUUAGUUGGUUUAACCCAGUUCCUGUCAUAACAACGCUUUGUUUUCCAUCCCCUUAUUAUAACGUUACUAACAACCUACCCUGUUCUUAAUAAUUCCAGUUUCUCCAAGUUCUGCAGCUGAUGCAAAAGGAUGACAGGGGAUCUUUUCAGUGCAGGUGUAUAGCCUAGCUUCUGGCUGUCUAGAGGCACUCUGGGCUUUGCUCUCUUCCUCUGUGGCAAUUUUGAUAUUAGAGUGACUGAGUGAGUACCUUCUUCCUAUCUCUGUGAUGUGUGUGUACGAAGAAGAUGAUCUUCUGCAAUUUAGUUUAUCUCCUGCUAAAGCAGACUAUGUGCCAGGUAACUGCUUUUCACAAUGCCAUCCAAUCAGUCGUGUCGAUGCUCUGGUGUCACCUUUGUGACAGCUACUUCAUAGAGAUAACAGAAUGCUGGUAGCCAAUUAGAUUUUGCUGAUAGGGAUACCACAGAGCCUGUCCAAGGGGGGGAGGCUGUGCACACCCACAGCUUGACAAUAAUAACAUAGUUGAAAUGGCAAAGCCCAGAGGGGCUAACAUAGCAAUCUAUUACAGGUAGCUGCAUACAUACAACCGUAUAAGCAGGGUAUUGGCAUACAAGGGACUAGACAGUCUUUGAGGCUCUCAACUCAAGCCAUUCACACCAGCAAACUUUAAAAGUGUUAGUCUGCUCAUAAAUGAUUUUCAGAAAAUUAACUAAGAAGAACGAGCUUUGUGGCUGACAUGUCAUCUCUCACAGGAGACAGGGCAGCAGCCACUCUGUCCACAUUGCACUUGCCUUUGCUAUGACAGAGAAGUGGGAACUGCUCUGUGCCAUGUCCCCAGAUGGCAAGAAGGUAAUUUUCUCGUGCUCCCCUCAUAAAGGCAGCAGAGAAAUGCAAGAGGCUGCA
Molecule: long non-coding RNA, 2714 nt
Organism: Hirundo rustica (Barn swallow)
Lineage: Eukaryota; Metazoa; Chordata; Aves; Passeriformes; Hirundinidae
Exons: 3
Source: RefSeq, a predicted model, not a curated record